AUAAUUGGUUGUAUUUGUGAAUGUAGAUAUGUGGGUUUAGAAGACAUCUCCAAGCUAGAGGCACUUGAUCCUGAUUAUAAACUGAGUUAGUUUGAGGAGCUAAAAUGUUACAUACAGCUCAGAUGAUGAUCAACCAGCAUAAAGCAAAGUGAAGAAGCCAAAGACAAAAGGUCAUAUCACAAAUUAGCUGUAUUUCUGUAUAAAAUAUCUAUCAUAUUGUAAUGCUUUCUUCAUCAGUUCUGCAGAUAAGCUUGUCUUUUAAAAGUCUCUGCAACUGUCUGGCUGCAGAGACAAUUUGCUGGGGUUCAGAAAAUGCUUCCUGUCUCCUCCUUGUCUUCUUUCUUCCACAUGUCAUUUCUUGAUAAAACUGGCCAACACAGUAUUGCUUGGAGAUCCGCCAACAAAAGCAUCCAGUCACCAGCGUGAGGAUUAGGGGGACCAGCCAGUGAAAGAAUUGUUAAGAAACAAGUAUAUAUCCCGCUGGAAGAAAAUAUGAAUUUUAUAACACAUACACACUCUCACUGAAAUAAAAAGCAAGGCAUGCAGAAGCACACUGAGAAUAGAGAAAUGGAGAUCAACACAUUAAGAAGUACAAAGAACAAAGCUACAGCUUUGAAUGGGUAAUAAUACCAGAGGAAAUGACUACAGCAGAUCCUAAGGAUUCAUUCAGCAUUGACAGCUUGAAACCCAAUAGAACAAAUGGGAAAUCAAGCUCCAUAGUAUGAAGAUGAAGAAGAAUGAAUUCCUCAAAAGGUAAUGAUUUACAUUGGCUAAAUAGGCCCAGGAGUCUCACUGAACCCUAAAAUACCUAGCAUGAAGAGGACAAACAUUCAUCAAACAGCGUAGCUGUGGAAUCUCCAUCCUUGGAGUCAGUGAAGACCACCCUUGGAGUUUGACUGAAGAAUGAAUUGGUGAGGCCCAGAGCAGCCAGUUGGACUGGAUGACCUCUGGAGAUCCCUUCUGACUUAUGAGGUUCUAUGAAUCUGCAAAAGUUAGUGAGAGCUCCUGCACGUGGCUUCCCCUUCCAUUGACAACAUUUCUGCAGAGGAAUGCAACAAAGACUAUUUCUGUUGCAGUCAGGAAGACUAUUUCCUUUUUCAAAAACUAAUGUCAUUGCUUGAGCCCAGCUAUUAAGGUGUUUUCUGUGGUUACCUGUGGUGCUGAAGCAGUGUUAUAGAACAAUUCAAACCUGUUUCCUCAUUCUCAACAACUACCUUGUUCUCUCAUGCUUUGGGUCUCUCCUGUUUGAUUCUUCCUGCACAAGCUGAAGACAAUAUUCAGAUCAGUUUAUCUUUAAAAAGCAGAAAAAAUUGUAAUUUACUUAUUUCAUUUUUUAGUUCUUAUUUCUGCUUUAUAGAAAUUCCUAAGAAGAUAUGGAAAUUAAACAAGCAUGAAGGUCUUUUACUGGGCUGUGAGCACUGACCACAAUUUGAAGGGUAUUUAGUUCCCUGUUUUCCAUCAUGUUUUCUGAAGGUGUAACAAUAAGCAAAGAAGUGACUUUUGUUCCCAUAACUUAAUAGUAAAAAUAAAUUAAUUGAAGUAACCCAGUAUGUACCUUUGACAGAGUUUUAUUUUCCACACCACAGGGAAA
Melopsittacus undulatus (budgerigar) is the source of this 1591-nucleotide long non-coding RNA. RefSeq lists it as uncharacterized. The record is from RefSeq and is a predicted model, not a curated record. The transcript is spliced from 4 exons. Lineage: Eukaryota; Metazoa; Chordata; Aves; Psittaciformes; Psittaculidae.